Long non-coding RNA from Oenanthe melanoleuca, 775 nucleotides. RefSeq lists it as uncharacterized. NCBI's taxonomy places the organism in Eukaryota, Metazoa, Chordata, Aves, Passeriformes, Muscicapidae. The record is from RefSeq and is a predicted model, not a curated record. The transcript is spliced from 4 exons.
AUAAGUUUCACAGGGUAACUGUACACAGGGUAUUAAAAGGAGCCUCCUUUGAACCCUUCUGAACUUGUCAUCUCACCAUUUUCUUGAUAUUCCGAUACUUCCUGUCUGUUGAUAGAUGGUGAAUAGUUGGUGUCUUUUAAUUUUCUAAGCUCUGCUGCUGUUUUCAAAGAUUACCAUCACACCCAUCACGCCAGAUAUCUCUUUAUAAAGUUGGUGUGUCCUAUUCCAGAUUAAUAUUUUGCUCCUUGCCUCUCUUCUUGGUACUAGUCCCACUUUUGUUGUACCUUUUAUAUAUUGGGAAGCCAGGCCUGCACAUGGCACUUAACAUUUGGGCAUACAACAAUUAUAUACAAGACUCACAGGGGAAUGGAAGGGCCCAGCCCCCUUUUCAAGUAAGCAUUUGUUCUGCAGAGGAUGAUGGAAAUCUCCAGCACCAGGAAAUCUGAAAAACAAGCAGCUUUGUAUUUCCAGCUGACAUGUGUUAUGACCUCAAGUUACUGGAUUGCCAUUUGAGAAGCUGUUUUCCAAAAUGGAAUGUUUUAGUCCUGCUGCCUGCUGUCCACUACAGUAAUUUGAAGUGAUGCUUUGAGAGACCAAAAAGUAAAACCAGCUCCAUGGAUGGAGCCUUGAGCUGCCCUGCUGGGACCCUCUUCCCCAGUGCUCAGCAGCUGUUGGUGCUCAGGCCCCAUUCCUCACUCCCCACCUGUGCUGUGCUGCAGCAAUGCUGUGUCCGGCCCCAUGCCUGGCUCAUCCCAGCCCUGGCAUGGCUUUAGAC